Molecule: ribosomal RNA, 598 nt
Filed under: uncultured Bacilli bacterium
Lineage: Bacteria; Bacillati; Bacillota; Bacilli
Description: bacterial SSU rRNA
Rfam family: Bacterial small subunit ribosomal RNA
Source: RNAcentral
CAGGUGCUAAUACCGGAUAAUAAAGCAGAUCGCAUGAUCAGCUUUUGAAAGGCGGCGUAAGCUGUCGCUAAGGGAUGGCCCCGCGGUGCAUUAGCUAGUUGGUAAGGUAACGGCUUACCAAGGCGACGAUGCAUAGCCGAGUUGAGAGACUGAUCGGCCACAUUGGGACUGAGACACGGCCCAAACUCCUACGGGAGGCAGCAGUAGGGAAUCUUCCACAAUGGACGCAAGUCUGAUGGAGCAACGCCGCGUGAGUGAAGAAGGUUUUCGGAUCGUAAAGCUCUGUUGUUGGUGAAGAAGGAUAGAGGUAGUAACUGGCCUUUAUUUGACGGUAAUCAACCAGAAAGUCACGGCUAACUACGUGCCAGCAGCCGCGGUAAUACGUAGGUGGCAAGCGUUGUCCGGAUUUAUUGGGCGUAAAGCGAGCGCAGGCGGAAAAAUAAGUCUAAUGUGAAAGCCCUCGGCUUAACCGAGGAACUGCAUCGGAAACUGUUUUUCUUGAGUGCAGAAGAGGAGAGUGGAACUCCAUGUGUAGCGGUGGAAUGCGUAGAUAUAUGGAAGAACACCAGUGGCGAAGGCGGCUCUCUGGUCUGCAACU